This 88-nucleotide transfer RNA is filed under the name Chloroflexota bacterium. Its description in RNAcentral is "Chloroflexi bacterium tRNA-Leu". It matches the Rfam family "tRNA". From Rfam's summary of the family: Transfer RNA (tRNA) molecules are approximately 80 nucleotides in length. The record is from RNAcentral. Lineage: Bacteria; Bacillati; Chloroflexota.
GGGGCGAUGGCGGAAUAGGCAGACGCAGGGGACUUAAAAUCCUCCGACCUGAACAGUCGUGUGGGUUCGACUCCCACUCGCCCCACAA